UCUCUCUUCUAUUCAAUUUCUCUCUCUCUCUUCUAUUCACUCUCUCUCUCUCCUAUUCACUCUUUUUUAUUGUUUUACCAGACAUGCCUAUAUAUUUUUUUUAUUAAAAAACAAAAAUCUUGAAAAUAUCACGUAGUCAAAUUUCCCCUUUUUUUUUUUUAAACUAAAGGUCAGAAUUCGUUUUUUCUACCUUGUCUUGUUGAAAAGGGAAACCGAUAUGCUUUUUCUUCUGUAUACAUAUUAUAUAAAUAAAUAAAAUACAUCUUAUGAUAUGUUGCGUUCAAUAUGCGGAAAACCCGGUUAAAUUAUAAAAUUCGGGUAUAAAUCCACAAGUCUUGCGGUAGGCUCGAAAAAUUCGAUGAUCUGGCAGCGCAGCUAUCUAUAUAGUAAAAACUGGGUGUCAAUUAUUCAGAGGUGUUGUGGAAUCCAAGACAGAUGUGCGUAGUUGUCAGAAUUAGAAACCAAUUCUGAUUCUCAAUGGUGUCACAGAAUCUGAUUGGAUUUUUGUCUUUUCAAACAUACGCAAAGCCGAUAUUCGAAUCAGCUGUUUAAAUAAAUUUGGAAGCGUUUGAUAAAUUUAAAAUACUGAAUAAAGUACAUUAAAAUUUACAGUGACUUCCGCUAUUUUAGCUUUUACUUUAUUAAAAAAAAUAAAUUAAUAUGAAGAUAUUAAGAGAUCACAGUAAUCCAGUUGAUGCACCAAAGGAAUCGCAUGUGAAAUUUGGGUUGCAUUUAUUUAUAUGCUUAUAUAUAAUACAUACUUACUUUACAGAUUUAUCAGGCGUGUUUCGAACAACAGCAAAUCGUUUUGUCGCCCUGUUCUGGAAAUCGGAUUCGUAACAAUUUUAUCUUUUCGAAUUCAGCAAGUUAAACGAUAGCGAUUUAAAUCAACGGUUUUUUCAAGUAACAUUUAUUUCUUUACAAGAAAUAAUCCAUAUUGAAUUUAUGGAAACGUAUUCCGAUUUAGCAUGCAAUUUUUCUAAACGAGAUAGAGUGGCAGUAGAAGAAACAUGGAAGGAGCUAGCCACGUUGCUGAAUGCAGAAGGACCACACCAGAAAAACUGAUGAAACUAUAAAAAAUAUAUGGUUUGACUGGAUUCGCAAAAAGGUUGCGCGUAACAAUUUAGAAGCAAGAGCGAUUGGCGGUGGACCCUUCAACAAGCAUAUAUUAACGAAUAGCGAAGAAUGUGUUGCAAGGAUCUGUGGAAUUUUCGCGACCGUUGAGGGCAUUUCAAAUUCUCGAAGUUUUGGGGCAGUAACAAGUUUCUGUAUUAGCGAAUCAGAGGAAGAACCUCUACAAACAAGCAGGGAAACCGUGGUUACCCUACGAGCCGCAAAACGACUACGAGUUUCCGAAAAUCGGGACUCCCUCCUAACGUACAUGACACACAAUCAAAUGGUAUGGGAAAAAUUUCCAUAACCUUUACUGAUUUAGUGAGUGCCAGCAACAAUUGAUGCAAUAUUAAGAAGAAGCGAAUAAUAUUCAACGGCUUUGCCGGACAGUUGAAAAACAAAAUAAUUUAUUAGCAGAACAAAAUCGCCUAAAAUCUCAAAGUUUAGAGGAACAGUAAAGGCAUCACCUUAGAAAACACGAAAAAGUUAAAAUAAAAAUGAAAAUGCUAGAGAAUGAAUUAACAUAAUAAAUACGCACCAUUUAACUACACA
Non-coding RNA from Bactrocera oleae (olive fruit fly), 1665 nucleotides. NCBI's taxonomy places the organism in Eukaryota, Metazoa, Arthropoda, Insecta, Diptera, Tephritidae. The record is from RefSeq and is a predicted model, not a curated record.